UACGUAGGUGGCAAGCGUUGUCCGGAUUUAUUGGGUUUAAAGGGUGCGUAGGCGGAAUGAUAAGUCAGUGGUGAAAGCCCUUCGCUUAACGAAGGAGCUGCCAUUGAUACUGUCAAUCUUGAAUACAUUUGAUGUGGGCGGAAUGUGUCAUGUAGCGGUGAAAUGCUUAGAUAUGACACAGAACACCGAUUGCGAAGGCAGCUCACAAAACUGUUAUUGACGCUGAGGCACGAAAGCGUGGGUAUCAAACAGU
RNAcentral lists this ribosomal RNA (253 nucleotides) under uncultured bacterium. RNAcentral's name for it is "partial 16S ribosomal RNA". It matches the Rfam family "Bacterial small subunit ribosomal RNA", at positions 524 to 776 of the family's 1533-position model. The record is from RNAcentral.